Molecule: small nuclear RNA, 107 nt
Organism: Diceros bicornis minor
Lineage: Eukaryota; Metazoa; Chordata; Mammalia; Perissodactyla; Rhinocerotidae
Source: RefSeq, a predicted model, not a curated record
GUGCUCACCUCAGUAGCACAUACACUAAAAUUGGAAUGACACACAGAACAUUAGCAUGGCCCCUGUGCAAGGAUGACACGCAAGUUCGUGGAGCAUUCCAAAUUUUG